AACAAAACAAAAUACAGGAGUAGCAUACAGACAGAAACACAGGAACAGAAUCAAUAACACCUCGGGGAAAGAACCAACGGGAGUGACAGAUAUAGAGGAGUCCAGGGGAGUCUCAUCACGCGCAGGUGUGAACCAACGGGAGUGACAGAUAUAGGGGAGUCCAGGGGAGUCUCAUCACGCGCAGGUGUGAACUAAUGGGAGUGACAGAUAUAGGGGAGUCCAGGGAGUCUCAUCACGCGCAGGUGUGAACCAAUGGGAGUGACAGAUAUAGGGGAGUCCAGGGGAGUCUCAUCACGCGCAGGUGUGAACCAACGGGAGUGACAGAUAUAGGGGAGUCCAGGGGAGUCUCAUGAUGCGCAGGUGUGAACUAAUGGGAGUGACAGAUAUAGGGGAGUCCAGGGGAGUCUCAUGAUGCGCAGGUGUGAACCAACGGGAGUGACAGAUAUAGGGGAGUCCAGGGGAGUCUGGACGGCGGCAGGUGUGUGUAACGAUGGCGGCAGGUGUGUGUAACGAUGGUGACAGGUGUGUGUAACGAUGGUGACAGGUGUGUGUAACGAUGGUGACAG
This is a long non-coding RNA of Oncorhynchus tshawytscha (Chinook salmon), 566 nucleotides long. Lineage: Eukaryota; Metazoa; Chordata; Actinopteri; Salmoniformes; Salmonidae. The record is from Ensembl.